ACGAGAAGACCCUAUGGAGCUUUAGACNNAAGACAGAUCAUGUUAAACACCCCCCAAUAAAGGCCUAAACUUAAUGAUCCCCUGUCCUAAUGUCUUCGGUUGGGGCGACCAUGGGGAAACACAAAUCCCCCAUGUGGAAUAGGAGGACAAUCCCAUAUUAUUUUCCUCUCCUCCCACAAGCAAGAGCCACAACUCUAGCUAACAGAACUUUUGACCUUAUAUGAUCCGGCGCACGCCGAUCAACGGACCAAGUUACCCUAGGGAUAACAGCGCAAUCCCCUUUUAGAGCCCAUAUCGACAAGGGGGUUUACGACCUCGAUGUUGGAUCAGGACAUCCUAAUGGUGCAGCCGCUAUUAAGGGUUCGUUUGUU
RNAcentral lists this ribosomal RNA (371 nucleotides) under Trachurus japonicus (Japanese jack mackerel). RNAcentral's name for it is "partial 16S ribosomal RNA". It matches the Rfam family "Bacterial large subunit ribosomal RNA", at positions 2080 to 2581 of the family's 2925-position model. The record is from RNAcentral. Lineage: Eukaryota; Metazoa; Chordata; Actinopteri; Carangiformes; Carangidae.